This 418-nucleotide unclassified non-coding RNA is filed under the name soil metagenome. Its description in RNAcentral is "partial contains 5.8S ribosomal RNA, internal transcribed spacer 2, and large subunit ribosomal RNA". The stretch from base 1 to 120 matches the Rfam family "5.8S ribosomal RNA", at positions 35 to 154 of the family's 154-position model. The record is from RNAcentral.
GAUGAAGAACGCAGCGAAAUGCGAUAAGUAAUGUGAAUUGCAGAAUUCAGUGAAUCAUCGAAUCUUUGAACGCAUCUUGCGCUCCUUGGUAUUCCUUGGAGCAUGCCUGUUUGAGUAUCAUGAGCAAAUCUCAAAGUCAAUUCCUUUUGUUGAUUCAAUUGGUUUUGCUUUGGACUUGGAGGCCUUGCAGAUUUCACAGUCUGCUCCUCUUAAAUGCAUUAGCUGGAUCUCAGUAAUUAUGCUUGGUUCCACUCGGCGUGAUAAGUAUCACUCGCUGAGGACACUGUUAAAAAGGUGGCCAGGAAAAUACUGAUUGAACCGCUUCUAACGGUCUAUUAAGUUAGACAUUUACCCUUAAGUUUGAUCUCAAAUCAGGUAGGACUACCCGCUGAACUUAAGCAUAUCAAUAAGCGGAGGA